AUGAAAAUUCUUCAUGACUCUGGCGAAGCAACAGGGCUGCACAUCAACCCCUCAAAGUCUGUGACAUUACCCAUUCGAUGCAAGAACAUAGACCUCGCGGACGCGCUACAGAAUUUUGGAGGGACCCAGGGGCAUGUCCCAUCCACUUACCUAGGGUUGCCACUCACCCUCUCCAGGCUUAGAUUAGCAAACUUGUAGUUCAUCAUAGAUAGGAUCAAAGCCCAACUUGCGGGUUGGAAAGGAAAGCUGCUACCCAUAGCCAGCAGGCGGAUC
This 273-nucleotide ribosomal RNA is filed under the name Triticum aestivum (bread wheat). RNAcentral describes it as "partial small subunit ribosomal RNA". Lineage: Eukaryota; Viridiplantae; Streptophyta; Magnoliopsida; Poales; Poaceae. The record is from RNAcentral.